RNAcentral lists this small RNA (78 nucleotides) under Flavobacterium anhuiense. RNAcentral describes it as "Flavo-1 RNA". It matches the Rfam family "Flavo-1 RNA". Lineage: Bacteria; Pseudomonadati; Bacteroidota; Flavobacteriia; Flavobacteriales; Flavobacteriaceae. The record is from RNAcentral.
CCCUAGCCCUGAUGGAAGCGGCAUCCUUUUGUUUUUUUCUUUAAAAAACAAAAGAUACAGCGGACAGCAGGAAACAGC